This is a long non-coding RNA of Populus euphratica (Euphrates poplar), 772 nucleotides long. RefSeq lists it as uncharacterized. The transcript is spliced from 2 exons. NCBI's taxonomy places the organism in Eukaryota, Viridiplantae, Streptophyta, Magnoliopsida, Malpighiales, Salicaceae. The record is from RefSeq and is a predicted model, not a curated record.
GAAGCAGGGACAGUGACCACUGCAUUCUUCACGGGGCUGGCAAGAUAAGCCUCAGCAAUGUCACGCAGCUUAACGAGCACCGUUGAAGAGACAUUAUAACAAAUUAAGUGACAGAUAUUCUGCACAUAUUAAACUCAGACAUCCAACAACUGAAGCAGGAUAUGGUAUGAUAAGAAAUUUGUUGUUUUUUAUUGAUUUUGUGCAGAGGGUUGGAGUCGGGUUAUGAAUACCCGAAUACUUGAAACUCAAUCAGGUCAUGAGUUUCAGAUGAAGUAUGGAUAAUAAUUUAAAAUUUGAGUUCAAGGAUGAAUAAUGCAAACUUAUACCCAGUGCCAUUGUCUUUUACACAAUGCGAGUUUCAGUUGUUUGAUGGUUGAGGACUCCAAGGAGAUCAUGAAUUUCAUUGUGUUCAUAAUCGUAGACGUCAGUUUAGGAACUUUACGGGCAUUCCUUCAAUAAGGCUUCCCCAUAAAGAGCUGAUGACAUGAUCUAGCUGAUAUACAUUACGUGUCAUCACAGAAAGAGAAACUUCACCAGCCUGUCAUAUCAUGCUGAAAACUGAAAGGAAAGCCAUGCGAAUCAAAUUGCAAUGCAGUAAUGAACGGUCUUGAUUGAAAACAGAGAGUACAACAGUUUGUUUCGUCCAAGAACACAUGACUACAUUUUUGCUGCUGUCUACAGCUACCUCGUGCAAGCUCAACAGGCAUUUGUUACUUCCAUUGCCGUCAUUUCAACCAAAAUUAUGACACUUUUUCACACCGCCGACACUGGG